This 468-nucleotide ribosomal RNA is filed under the name uncultured bacterium. RNAcentral describes it as "partial 16S ribosomal RNA". It matches the Rfam family "Bacterial small subunit ribosomal RNA", at positions 28 to 507 of the family's 1533-position model. The record is from RNAcentral.
GACGAACGCUGGCGGCGUGCUUAACACAUGCAAGUCGAACGGAAAGGCCCUGCUUUUGUGGGGUGCUCGAGUGGCGAACGGGUGAGUAACACGUGAGUAACCUGCCCUUGACUUUGGGAUAACUUCAGGAAACUGGGGCUAAUACCGGAUAGGAGCUCCUGCUGCAUGGUGGGGGUUGGAAAGUUUCGGCGGUUGGGGAUGGACUCGCGGCUUAUCAGCUUGUUGGUGGGGUAGUGGCUUACCAAGGCUUUGACGGGAAGCCGGCCUGAUAGGGUGACCGGCCUCAUUGGGACUGAGAUACGGCCCAGACUCCUACGGGAGGCAGCAGUGGGGAAUAUUGCACCAUAGGCGGAAGCCUGAUGCAGCAGCGCCGCGUGCGGGAUGACGGCCUUCGGGUUGUAAACCGCUUUCUCCUGUGACGAAGCGUGAGUGACGGUAAUGGGUAAAGAAGCACCGGCUAACUACGUG